GGGUGCAGCGUCGUUUGCUGCAGGAUGAGGAUGGUCGGGCCGCCAUCC
Molecule: non-coding RNA, 48 nt
Filed under: unclassified sequences
Description: Li+-I sequence
Rfam family: nhaA-I RNA
About the family: Acidobacteria, Alphaproteobacteria, Betaproteobacteria and Gammaproteobacteria, Verrucomicrobia, cand. division NC10. Downstream gene
Source: Rfam by way of RNAcentral